GUCUUUUAGAUUAUAAUUUAAAGUCUGGCCUGCCCUAUGAAAAUUUAAAUGGCCGCAGUAUUUUGACUGUGCAAAGGUAGCAUAAUAAUUAGUUUUUUAAUUGAAAGCUGGAAUGAAAGGUUGAACGAAAAAAUAACUGUCUCAAUUUAAUUUAAUUAGAAUUUUAUUUUUUAGUAAAAAAGCUAAAAUAAUUUUUAAAGACGAGAAGACCCUAUAGAGUUUUAUAUUUAAUUUUUAUAUAUUUUAUAGAAUUUUUUUAUAAUUUUAAAUAUUUUGUUGGGGUGAUAAAUAAAUUUAAGUAACUUUAUUGAUUUUUUACAUUAAUAUAUGAUUAAUUGAUCCAUAUAAAUGAUUAAAGAUUAAAUUACCUUAGGGAUAACAGCGUUAUUUUUUUUUAGAGUUCUUAUCGAAAAAAAAGAUUGCGACCUCGAUGUUGGAUUAAAAUUUAUUUAUGGUGUAGAAGCUAUAAUAUUAGGUCUGUUCGACCUUUAAAAUUUUACAUGAUCUGAGUUUAAACCGGUGUGAGCCAGGUUGGUUUCUAUCUUAAAAUAAAUAAAAUAUUUUAGUACGAAAGGACCAAGUAUUUAUAAAAUUUAUUAUAUUUUGAAUGC
RNAcentral lists this ribosomal RNA (611 nucleotides) under Limnebius truncatellus. Its description in RNAcentral is "partial 16S ribosomal RNA". The stretch from base 375 to 533 matches the Rfam family "Bacterial large subunit ribosomal RNA", at positions 2473 to 2632 of the family's 2925-position model. Lineage: Eukaryota; Metazoa; Arthropoda; Insecta; Coleoptera; Hydraenidae. The record is from RNAcentral.